AUUAAACGCUGGCGGCAUGCCUUACACAUGCAAGUCGAACGGCAGCACGGGGGCAACCCUGGUGGCGAGUGGCGGACGGGUGAGUAAAGCAUCGGAACGUAUCCUGGAGUGGGGGAUAACGUAGCGAAAGUUACGCUAAUACCGCAUAUUCUGUGAGCAGGAAAGCAGGGGAUCACAAGACCUUGCGCUCUGGGAGCGGCCGAUGUCGGAUUAGCUAGUUGGUGGGUAAAGGCUACCAAGGCGACGAUCCGUAGCGGGUCUGAGAGGAUGAUCCGCCACACUGGGACUGAGACACGGCCCAGACUCCUACGGGAGGCAGCAGUGGGGAAUUUUGGACAAUGGGCGCAAAGCCUGAUCCAGCCAUGCCGCGUGAGUG
This 376-nucleotide ribosomal RNA is filed under the name uncultured bacterium. RNAcentral's name for it is "bacterial SSU rRNA". It matches the Rfam family "Bacterial small subunit ribosomal RNA", at positions 29 to 407 of the family's 1533-position model. The record is from RNAcentral.